RNAcentral lists this unclassified non-coding RNA (389 nucleotides) under Hevea brasiliensis (rubber tree). The record is from RNAcentral. Lineage: Eukaryota; Viridiplantae; Streptophyta; Magnoliopsida; Malpighiales; Euphorbiaceae.
ACUCUAGUUGGGAACUACAAGGAAAUCAGAAACCAUGGAACCACCCAGAUAUGAAAAUCUUCACCGAAACUCGAUCAUUUAUUUCUUUCAGAAGAAAUCUGUUUUGAGAUUAACAAGAUCACAAUCUUCCUGUUUGGCCUUCUCAAUGUCCGCUUCUGAUAGUUGUGCUUCGAGCUUAGGAGGGAUCAUGCACCGCACAAGAGCCCAAUUGAUUCCAUGGAAAAAAUGAUGCUGCUUAAGUUCAUUGGCUCCUUCACAGGAGCCUAAUCUGUUUUUGGCAUCCCUGUGCAGCAAACGAUACAUCAACUGCUUCGCAGGGAGGCUUACCGAAAUACUUCCAGGAAAUCUAAGGUCCUUGUGAAGAAUAUUGGCAAAUGUUUUUUGCCUAG